Gallus gallus (chicken) is the source of this 1667-nucleotide long non-coding RNA. The record is from Ensembl. NCBI's taxonomy places the organism in Eukaryota, Metazoa, Chordata, Aves, Galliformes, Phasianidae.
GAGCUGAUGGAGACCUAUAUAGCCAAGAUCUGUGAAAUUCACAAUGAAGGAAGCAAUAUGGUCCAAGUAGAGUUAUAUGCCAAAUCUUUUAACACGCAGUGUCAAUAGGAAGAAAAACAAUGAAAAUAGUUGUAGUCAUGUAAAUUUGAAACAGAUGUAUCAUUUUGCUCCAGUGACCUGAGUAGAAUACUAAGAAGGCUGCCUCUCAAUAUGAUGCUCUGAUAAAAACGUUCUCAAGGGGAGGUGCUCCAGCCCUCUGAAUUUAAUCUGAAGAACAGAACUGCCCCUCAAGCCUCUCAGGGGAGACUGACAAGUACACCUGACAAUGAGCAAUGCUGGAGAAAAGUGAAAAUCCAUUAGAAAGAAGCGAUAGGAAGGAAAAUUUUGCUUAAUGGGCAGAGGAUGCACAAGUCAUUUCCAUGAUACCAUGUAUGACAAUUGCCUGCAUGUCUGGAACCUUUUAUAGAAGCAAAAACUGAAGUGGCUUGUUCUGUGAAUACUAACAGGAAUCCUAAGAAUCACAGAAUGGCAGAGGUUGGAAGGGACCUCAAGUGAUCAUUGAGUCUAACCCCCCUGCUAAAGCAGAUACCGCAAUAUGUCACAGAGCCCUCUUGAGGAGGAGUGAGAGUGCAGUUUGGUGGACAUCAGGCAAUCAGCCAAGAUAAAGUACUUCAAUAGUUACUGGAACGUGGAACAAGAAAGCGAGAAUGAGUCAAAUCUGAUGCUCUUUGGAAAGAUGAGGUCAAGGGAGGUGAUUCUGUUCCUCUACUCUGCUCUCGUGAGACCCCUCCUGGAGUACUGUGUCCAGUUCCAGGGCUCCCAACACAAGAAGGAUAUGGAGAGGUUGGAGCAGGUCCAGAGGAGGGCCAAGAAGAUGAUCAGAGGUAUGGAGCACCUACCCUAUCAGAACAGGCUGAGACACCUGGAGCUCUUCAGCCUAGAGAAGAGAAGGCUCUGGGGAGACCUUAUAGCAGCCUUCCAGUACCUGAAGGGGCCUACAGGAAAGCUGGGGAGGAACUUUUUAUAAGGGUAUGUACUGAUCGAAUGAGGGGAAAUGGUUUUAAACUGUAAGAGAGUAGAUUUAGAGUAGAUAUUAGGAAGAAAUUCUUCACUGUGAGGGUGGUGAGUCACUGGAACAGGUUGCCCAGUGAGGUUGUGAAUGCCCCCUCUCUGGAAGCAUUCAAGGCCAGGCUGGAUAGGAAUUUGAGCAACCUAGUCUAGAGUCUAUUUGAGCAACCCAGUCUGUCCCUGCCUAUGGCAGAAGGGUUGGCACUAAAGGUCCCUUCCAACCCAAAUCAUUGGUUCUAUGAUUCUAUGAUUCUGUGACUGUUAUUAGGAAAUGACUAUAUAAGCUGAGUCUUUUUAAUUUGGACAUAUGCUCUGCAGUGCCAUCUACAGUAUUUUGGUCAAGACUGAGCAACUUAACUGGAAAUCUUGCAUUUUGCUCUAUAAAGGAAGGAUAAAGCAGAAAGUGAGCAUAUAUCAAUAUUGAACAAACUUUACAAGGCCGAAUAAUAAAUUAGCUGGAGAUCUAUGGACGCUCUAUUGACAACUGAGCUUUGAAAUCACUUUGAAAAUAAUUUUUAAAAUUGUUUAGCCAGUAAUGAUUAGAACAUAACCAUUAUAUAUUCACUUACCUGCUUACUAUUUUGGAAAAGUUUCACAAG